AGUGAACGCUGGCGGCGUGCUUAACACAUGCAAGUCGAACGGACUUAAGGGGCUUGCUUCUUAAGUUAGUGGCGCACGGGGUGAGUAAUAUAUAGCUAAACCUGACCCUUUAGUGGGGGACGAACAGUUGGAAACGGCUGCUAAUACCCCAUACUCCUUCUGAUCUUAAGGUCAGUUGGGAAAGAUUUAUCGCUAAAGGAUGGGGCUUUAUGUAUCAGUUAGUUGGUGGGGUAAUGGCCUACCAAGACAAUGACGCAUACCUGGUCUGAGAGGAUGAUCAGGCACACUGGAACUGAGACACGGGUCCAGGACUCCUACGGGAGGCAGCAGUGGGGAAUAUUGCACAAUGGAGGAAACUCUGAUGCAGCAACGCCGCGUGGAGGAUGACGCAUUUCGGUGUGUAAACUCCUUUUAUAAGGGAAGAUAAUGACGGUACCUUAUGAAUAAGCACCGGCUAACUCCGUG
Molecule: ribosomal RNA, 465 nt
Filed under: uncultured bacterium
Lineage: Bacteria
Description: bacterial SSU rRNA
Rfam family: Bacterial small subunit ribosomal RNA
Source: RNAcentral